RNAcentral lists this ribosomal RNA (364 nucleotides) under uncultured bacterium. Its description in RNAcentral is "bacterial SSU rRNA". It matches the Rfam family "Bacterial small subunit ribosomal RNA", at positions 330 to 686 of the family's 1533-position model. The record is from RNAcentral.
UCCAGACUCCUACGGGAGGCAGCAGUAGGGAAUCUUCGGCAAUGGACGAAAGUCUGACCGAGCAACGCCGCGUGAGUGAAGAAGGUUUUCGGAUCGUAAAACUCUGUUGGUAGAGAAGAACGUUGGUGAGAGUGGAAAGCUCAUCAAGUGACGGUAACUACCCAGAAAGGGACGGCUAACUACGUGCCAGCAGCCGCGGCAAUACGUAGGUCCCGAGCGUUGUCCGGAUUUAUUGGGCGUAAAGCGAGCGCAGAGGGUUUAUUAAGCCUGGUGUGAAAGGCAGUGGCUCAACCAUUGUAUGGAUUGGAAACUGGUAGACUUGAGGUGAGGAGAGGAGAGUGGAAUUCCAUGGGGUACGGUUGAA